AGCAGCUGGUCUGGAGACUACAAAAUUAUUAUCAAUUGUGUAUAUGUUUCUUGUUUGGACAAGUGCGAAAAGGGCAUCGAUUAUGACAUUUACAACACCAGGUGGCGCCAAAAUAUCAUCCAUGUCCAUGUUGACCAUACACAACAUAAACUAUUGAUUUGGACGAGGCCCACCACUAUGAUGAGUGCCAGAGCGAGGAGUUUUCCUACAGUGAAAACAUCCUGUAUCCUUGUCGCCCAGCGCACACUGGAGCAGUUCACCCAGCUCUCUUUAUUCACAGCAGUGACCUGAACAAACUGUUUCCGCUGGCGGACACACACAUACACACACGUGUGAAUUUUUGGCAGAAGGUUUUGGUGGCACCGGGCACAGCUUUCUUUCCCCUACAACGCUGCGGUGUUUUAUAAUCAGUUACCCUGGGGGUGUUACAUGCAUUUCCGUUCCGCUCCCCCGCUUGUCAGUGUUAACCAUGACAGGAAGGAGGUGCCAGUGGGCUUUGAAUGUGACAGCGCAGAUCCCAACUUUGUGCAGAUUUAUCAGGGAGCUUUAACCUCAGGAACGCCUCCUCCUGGUCCAGGAUCUGGUCAGUGAAGUCACUGAACUGGCAAUAACGCCCCCAGCCGUCUAUCCACCACAAGGUCUGAAGUGUGAUGCUGUGGACCAGAGAGGAGGGAGGAGGUGGUACCAAGCAGCCAAUAGCAACAUCAAACAGCCAACUAGGAUGUCAGCUGGCCAAUGGGAUCCCCCAUCAUUGAUGUGCAAGACACAGAUGGUGGCGAGGAGUCUGGUGGCAAUGUACGGAGGCAGGCAGUCCUGGAAGGCCGGCUGCAAGACGUAAUUGGAGAAGAUGGUGACCUUUGACUUCCCCUGAGACUUUUCUCACUGUGCAGCCCUCUAGUGAUACUGAAUACUGAGUAAUGCUGAAUAAAUCAAUGGUUGGUAAAUUUAGUCACAGAUUUUGCUGCAUUUUUUAAAAUUUGAGUCUAUGAAGAAUACCUUUGAGCAGUUGCUCCAUCCAUAGAAACUAGCCUCACUGACUAGCGGGAACUAGAGGAUGGCUGGUUCAAGUCCACUAUGAUACAGGUACGUAAGAAUCUGUGGACAUGAUCUCAGACAUAACCAAACAAAAAAAAGAGCAUGAACAAGAUUGCCUGUUGAAAUGACAAUAUUGAUAGAUGUCACAAUCACUUCUGGGACAAUACACUACUGGUGAAAAGUUUUAGAACACCCCAAUUAUUCCAGAUUUUAUUGAAAAUUAUGCAGUUUAAUGUUUCAUUGUACUCUUAAAUGAAAGCAUAGAACAAAUAAAAAGUUAAGUUGAAAAAGAAAUCAUGGAAUCAAUUUAUAAACCAAAAUGUAUUCUAAACGUUUGACUCAUCAAAGUAGCCACCUUCAACAGAUAUGGAAAUUAAAUAUUCUUCAGAAAGUUCAACUCUGUUGCACAGGUUCCUGUGAAUGUAGGUUGCUUUGCUUUCACUCUUCUGUCCAGUUCAUCCUAAAACAGCUCGAGUCGAGUCUGUAGACUUGGCUAGCCACUCCAUGUUUUCAGGCUUACCAUCUUGUUCUUUUUUCCUGAGGUAGUUCUGGCAUAGCUUGGACUUGUGUUUUGGGUCAUUAUCUUGCUGUAGGAUGAACCCCUGACCAACUAGGCGCAUAUCAGAGGGUACUGCAUGGCAUUGUAGAAUGAUGUGGUGGCCAUCUUGGUUCAGGGUGCCUCUCACUCUGUACAAGUCACCGACUCUGGAUCCAGCAAAACAGCCUCAGACCAUCACGCUUGUUCCUCCAUAUUUGACCGUUGAUGUCACACACUGAGGAACCAUCCUUUCGCCUACUCAACGGCGUACAAAAAUCUUAAAUCUUUAAAAAAUAAACCGAAGAUUUCAAAUUUUCAUUCAUCAGUCCAUAACACCUUCUUCCAAUCGUCAGUAGUCCACUGGCAGUGUUUUAUGGCCCUGGCAAGCCUCUUUUUCUUAUUCUGUCAUCUUAGCAACCUCUUUCUUGCUGCAACUCGACCUGUCGAACCUGCAACUUGAAGUCUUCUCUUCACAGUUGAAACUGAGACUUGCUUACUACAAACUAUAUUAGGCUGUGCUUGAAGCUGUUGUCCUGUGAGCCGCCUAUCAUGCAAGCUGUUGACUCAGAAACUUGUGGCUUUGGUUCUGCCAGACCACAAAUUUCUGUUUCCUUUUUCUUGCCAUUUCUAUAGCAACACACUACUUUCUGCAGUGCAAUACUGUUCAUAUAAUGCUCACGAGGGCAUGGUACCACAGUGUGUUCCAGCACCUCUUUUAUGCAGAAGGGGUUCUAAGUAAUCAAGAAAAUUUGCGACACGUGUAGGAAUUGGUAGCACCAACUUUCAAGGCUUGAUCAACCUCCCUUGCUGCAGAACAACUUUAAGUUGUUAACCCAUUUCUUCCAUCUAUCCAUCCAUUUUUUUCCGCUUUAUCCAGGACUGGGUCGCGACGGCAGCAGCUUGAUCAGGGAUACCCAGACUUCCCUCUCCCCAGACAUUUCCUCCAGCUCUUACGGAUGGACCUCAAGGUGUUCCCAGGCCUGAGUGACACAGUUCCUCCAGUGUGUUCCGGGGUCUUCCUCAGGGGUCUCCUCCCGGUGACCAUAGCUCACCAUAGGUGAGGGUAGGAACGUAGAUUGACUGGUAAAUCGAGAUCCUUGCCUUUUGGCUCAGCUUCUUCUUCACCAUGAUGGGUGGGCAUUACUGCUGUAGCUGCACUGAUCUGUCUGUCAAUCUCAUGCUCCCAUCUUCCCUCACUUGUGAACAAGACACCAAAAUACUUGAACUCCUCCACUUGAGGCAGAAGCUCUCCUCCAACCUGGAGGGGGCAGAACACCUUUUUCUGAUUGAGAACCAUGGCCUUGGAUUUGGAGGUACUGAUUCUCAUCCAAGUCACUUCACACUUGGCUGCAAACCCCCCCAGUGCAGGCUGAAGGUCCUGGCUCGAGGAAGCCAACAGGACAACAUCACCCACAAAAAGCAGAGAUGAAAUCCUGUGGUUCCUGAACCGAACACCCUCCCAAUCACGCCUCUCCAGGUGUCACUGUUGUCGCCCACAUGGACACUGAAGUUCCCCAGUAGAACUAUGGAGUCCCCAGUCGGACCACCUUCCAGAGCCCAGGCUGUGCAUGGAAGUGAGCCCGACUAUCUCUAGCC
This is a long non-coding RNA of Scatophagus argus, 3169 nucleotides long. RefSeq lists it as uncharacterized. The record is from RefSeq and is a predicted model, not a curated record. The transcript is spliced from 7 exons. Lineage: Eukaryota; Metazoa; Chordata; Actinopteri; Scatophagidae.